AACGAACGCUGGUGGCAUGCCUAAUACAUGCAAGUCGAACGAGAAAGCACUUCGGUGUGAGUAGAGUGGCGCACGGGUGAGUAACGCGUAGGUAACGUGCCUUGAAGUGGGGGACAACAUCGGGAAACCGGUGCUAAUACCGCAUAAGCAAGCAAUUGGAAAGUGGGCUUCGGCUCACGCUUUAAGAUCGGCCUGCGUGACAUUAGCUUGAUGGUGGGGUAAUGGCCUACCAUGGCUACGAUGUCUAGCUGGUCUGAGAGGAUGAUCAGCCACACUGGAACUGAGACACGGUCCAG
RNAcentral lists this ribosomal RNA (296 nucleotides) under uncultured bacterium. RNAcentral's name for it is "partial 16S ribosomal RNA". It matches the Rfam family "Bacterial small subunit ribosomal RNA", at positions 29 to 334 of the family's 1533-position model. The record is from RNAcentral.